Unclassified non-coding RNA from Callithrix jacchus (white-tufted-ear marmoset), 148 nucleotides. It matches the Rfam family "Metazoan signal recognition particle RNA". Rfam says of the family: The signal recognition particle (SRP) is a universally conserved ribonucleoprotein. It is involved in the co-translational targeting of proteins to membranes. The record is from Ensembl. Lineage: Eukaryota; Metazoa; Chordata; Mammalia; Primates; Cebidae.
GCCGGGCGUGGUGGCGUGCUCCUGUAAUCCCAGGUACUUGGGAGGCUGAGGCAGGAGAAUUGCUUGAACCUGGGAGGCGGAGGUUGCAGUGAGUCGAGAUUUCGCCACUGCAUUCCAGCCUGGGUGACAGAGUGAGACUCUGCCUCUA